Molecule: small RNA, 1005 nt
Filed under: Pongo abelii (Sumatran orangutan)
Lineage: Eukaryota; Metazoa; Chordata; Mammalia; Primates; Hominidae
Description: retained intron
Source: RNAcentral
ACAGGCAUCCGGCGCGCUCCUCCCUCCCUGCAGCCCUGGGCAGCAUCUCCUAGAGGCUCCGCGGCCCAGGCUCCUGGCGCGUCUGCCGUGCAGGUGGCUCCUGGAAGACCCUCAGCCUGCCUGCUGAGGCCAUGUCGGACUACGAGAACGAUGACGAGUGCUGGAGCAUCCUGGAGGGCUUCCGGGUGACGCUUACCUCGGUCAUCGACCCCUCGCGCAUCACGCCCUACCUGCGGCAGUGCAAGGUCCUGAACCCUGAUGAUGAGGAGCAGGUGCUCAGUGACCCCAACCUGGUCAUCCGCAAACGGAAAGUGGGGGUGCUCCUGGACAUCCUGCAGCGGACCGGCCACAAGGGCUACGUGGCCUUCCUCGAGAGCCUGGAGCUCUACUACCCGCAGCUGUACAAGAAAGUCACGGGCAAGGAGCCAGCCCGCGUCUUCUCCAUGAUCAUCGACGCGUCCGGGGAGUCAGGCCUGACUCAGCUGCUGAUGACUGAGGUCAUGAAGCUGCAGAAGAAGGUGCACGACCUGACGGCGCUGCUGAGCUCCAAGGAUGACUUCAUCAAGGAGCUGCGGGUGAAGGACAGCCUGCUGCGCAAGCACCAGGAGCGCGUGCAGAGGCUCAAGGAGGAGUGCGAGGCUGGCAGCCGCGAGCUCAAGCGCUGCAAGGAGGAGAACUACGACCUGGCCAUGCGCCUGGCGCACCAGAGUGAGGAGAAAGGCGCCGCGCUCAUGCGGAACCGCGACCUGCAGCUGGAGGUGUGCCCGCUGCCCCCGGGGAACCAGGCCCCCCUCGCCUGGCCUGGCGGGGUCUGCAGGCCGGGGUGGUCGGGGGUGGCCCCAUGGGUCUGCGGUCACCGCCUGGAGGGGACAGCCAGGCCCACCAUACCUUCUGCAGAUUGACCGACUCAAGCACAGCCUCAUGAAGGCAGAGGACGACUGCAAGGUGGAGCGCAAGCACACGCUGAAGCUCAGGCACGCCAUGGAGCAGCAGCCCAGCCAGGAG